RNAcentral lists this ribosomal RNA (465 nucleotides) under Vreelandella stevensii. RNAcentral's name for it is "partial 16S ribosomal RNA". It matches the Rfam family "Bacterial small subunit ribosomal RNA", at positions 338 to 795 of the family's 1533-position model. Lineage: Bacteria; Pseudomonadati; Pseudomonadota; Gammaproteobacteria; Oceanospirillales; Halomonadaceae. The record is from RNAcentral.
CCUACGGGUGGCAGCAGUGGGGAAUAUUGGACAAUGGGCGAAAGCCUGAUCCAGCCAUGCCGCGUGUGUGAAGAAGGCCUUCGGGUUGCAAAGCACUUUCAGUGGGGAAGAAAGCCUUGGGGCUAAUACCCUCGAGGAAGGACAUCACCCACAGAAGAAGCACCGGCUAACUCCGUGCCAGCAGCCGCGGUAAUACGGAGGGUGCGAGCGUUAAUCGGAAUUACUGGGCGUAAAGCGCGCGUAGGCGGUCUGAUAAGCCGGUUGUGAAAGCCCCGGGCUCAACCUGGGAACGGCAUCCGGAACUGUCAGGCUAGAGUGCAGGAGAGGAAGGUAGAAUUCCCGGUGUAGCGGUGAAAUGCGUAGAGAUCGGGAGGAAUACCAGUGGCGAAGGCGGCCUUCUGGACUGACACUGACGCUGAGGUGCGAAAGCGUGGGUAGCAAACAGGAUUAGAUACCCCAGUAGUC